AUGGGCGCAAGCCUGAUCCAGCAAUGCCGCGUGGGUGAAGAAGGCCUGCGGGUUGUAAAGCCCUUUAAGCGGGGAGGAAAGCCGGGGUGUGAAUAGCGCCUCGGGGUGACGUUACCCGCAGAAUAAGCACCGGCUAACUCCGUGCCAGCAGCCGCGGUAAU
This 161-nucleotide ribosomal RNA is filed under the name uncultured bacterium. RNAcentral describes it as "partial 16S ribosomal RNA". It matches the Rfam family "Bacterial small subunit ribosomal RNA", at positions 371 to 524 of the family's 1533-position model. The record is from RNAcentral.